GUGGGGAAUAUUGGACAAUGGGCGCAAGCCUGAUCCAGCCAUACCGCGUGGGUGAAGAAGGCCUUCGGGUUGUAAAGCCCUUUUGUUGGGAAAGAAAUCCUGUCGAUUAAUACUCGGUGGGGAUGACGGUACCCAAAGAAUAAGCACCGGCUAACUUCGUGCCAGCAGCCGCGGUAAUACGAAGGGUGCAAGCGUUACUCGGAAUUACUGGGCGUAAAGCGUGCGUAGGUGGUGGUUUAAGUCUGCUGUGAAAGCCCGGGGCUCAACCUGGGAAUUGCAGUGGAUACUGGAUCACUAGAGUGUGGUAGAGGGAUGCGGAAUUUCUGGUGUAGCAGUGAAAUGCGUAGAGAUCAGAAGGAACAUCCGUGGCGAAGGCGGCAUCCUGGGCCAACACUGACACUGAGGCACGAAAGCGUGGGGAGCAAACAGGAUUAGAAACCCCGGUAGUCC
RNAcentral lists this ribosomal RNA (450 nucleotides) under uncultured bacterium. RNAcentral's name for it is "partial 16S ribosomal RNA". It matches the Rfam family "Bacterial small subunit ribosomal RNA", at positions 354 to 796 of the family's 1533-position model. The record is from RNAcentral.